AGGAUGGCCUCGCGUCUGAUUAGAUAGUUGGUGGGGUAACGGCCUACCAAGUCGACGAUCAGUAGCCGGACUGAGAGGUUGAACGGCCACAUUGGGACUGAGACACGGCCCAGACUCCUACGGGAGGCAGCAGUGGGGAAUAUUGCACAAUGGGCGCAAGCCUGAUGCAGCAACGCCGCGUGAAGGAAGACGGUUUUCGGAUUGUAAACUUCUGUUCUUAGCGAAGAACAAUGACGGUAGCUAAGGAGCAAGCCACGGCUAACUACGUGCCAGCAGCCGCGGUAAUACGUAGGUGGCAAGCGUUGUCCGGAAUUACUGGGUGUAAAGGGAGCGCAGGCGGGAAAGCAAGUCAGCUGUGAAAUCCAUGGGCUUAACCCAUGAACUGCAGUUGAAACUGUUUUUCUUGAGUGAAGUAGAGGUUGGCGGAAUUCCGAGUGUAGCGGUGAAAUGCGUAGAUAUUCGGAGGAACACCGGUGGCGAAGGCGGCCAACUGGGCUUUUACUGACGCUGAGGCUCGAAAGUGUGGGGAGCAAACAGGAUUAGAUACCCUGGUAGUCCACACUGUAAACGAUGAUUGCUAGGUGUGGGG
This 589-nucleotide ribosomal RNA is filed under the name uncultured bacterium. RNAcentral's name for it is "bacterial SSU rRNA". It matches the Rfam family "Bacterial small subunit ribosomal RNA", at positions 222 to 827 of the family's 1533-position model. The record is from RNAcentral.